Esox lucius (northern pike) is the source of this 2809-nucleotide long non-coding RNA. The record is from Ensembl. Lineage: Eukaryota; Metazoa; Chordata; Actinopteri; Esociformes; Esocidae.
CAAAUACACAGGCUCAAGUUCAGCCAGCCACACAGACAUCUUUCAUUUACACUUAUGACAGUGGGUCAUUUUGCCCCUGUGUGAUACUCGCACACACAUUCAUUUCACACACUCAUACACACAGACACUCACUCAUACAGACACACAGACACUCACUCAUACAGACACACAGACACUCACUCAUCCAGACACACAGACAGUGGGAAUUUGAGAAGCUCCAGUCAGACUGAGGAAUGCUGCUGGACAUGGAUUGCUCUCCAUUCACCAGACUCACAGUGUUUCUCCUCCUCCUUCCAGCAGUUCCAGCCAUUAAUCCGACUAACCAGACAGAGGUUAUGGGUGGACCUUUACAAACCACCACGCCUGUAGCCAUUUCCGAGGUGACCUCAGUACCAACACCACGAUCCAACACCACCACUGUGGCGGUUGUUGAUACAAGCCCAGAACAAGCCCAUCCACAGACUGAUGUCACACCAUCCCUAGCAUACUCAACGCCAGGAAACGACAGCAGUGACAAUGAGGCGCCCACGUCCUCAUCCCAACCAUUGUCUCCUACCGCCACAGGCAUGACUCAGGCACAAAGAUCUGCUACCACCUCACAAGACACUUCCAAAGAACCUGGAUCGACAGCUGCCACAACAGCCCCCUCUACGACCCCGUUGACCUCCCCUGAGGGACCUACAGAGACACACACAGACAUCUCUCCCACUCAGCCCCCGGGAAAAAGCCUCACCAUGCUUGCCUUUGGUGUCAUGAGCUUCAUCCUCAUCCUCAUCAUUAUCAUGGUGGUCUUGGUAACCGUGGUCAACCUGAGAGACCGCUGCAGCCACUCAACAGAGGAAGGUAAAAAGAGCAGCGAUUCUGUGGUAUCAGAAAGCAAUUUCACAUACAAUGGUGAAAAAGAGAGCAUCACUUUGGUCUCCAUGAAGACCAUUCACUCAGAAACUGACACAGAUUCGCCCCAGGUCUCCUCCAUUCACAGUACAACACUGGACUACGAUGAGCAUGAACUGAGUAGGGACCUGAUGGACACUAAGCUGGUGUGAAAAUAAAGACCUUAGAUGUGACCAAAACAGAAAUGACCAAACUACUCUUACAAAAUUGACCGAUACAUCUGAGUCCACACAGCAUAUCAAAUCACUGCUGUGGCGAUAAUAUGUGCUGGCUACCACUGGGCAUAGUAAGUGUCUGUUGUAUCUACUGUCCCAUCCAUAAAAACUGACAGUAAAGUCAAAAUUGCUAUUUAUGCUAUACACUCAACGAAUAUGAAAAUAAGAUUAAAAGAUUAUUCGAAAGUACAGAAUGUCACCUUUUGUUCCUGCCGGUUCGACACUUAUAUAUGCUUAAUCGACUAAGAAUAACAGCACUGUAAGAGUUCAAUCGCCCAUUUUAUGUGAGCAGAAGUAUUGGGACACAGGACAAAUUGAUGAGGUGUUUUCUUUGGCAUUGAGUGUCAACACAUAGAAGAACGAUGAAUGUGCAGUCCAGGUCCAUCGUUUGCUUUUAUAUUUGUUGUCUGCAUUCGGUCAGUAGGAAUGACCAGAGCUGUGAAAAACAACCGAAAAAUAAGGGUCAGUGAAAUCACCAACAAGGCAGCAAAAUUACAAAGCUACACUGCAAGAUGCAAACCUCUGAUCAGCACCAAAAACAGAAAGGCCAGAUAUUUGCUAAAAAGUAGAGAUCAGAUCAGUAGAGAUACAGUUGUGGAAUAGGUUUUUAAUGCUGAGAUGAGACAAAGGUAAACCUUUAUCAAAAUGAUGGGAAGGCAAAAGUGUGGAGAAAAUAAUAAAACUAUAGAUUAUCUAAACCACACCAUCCCAUCUGUGAAGUACAGUGGAGGUAGUGUCAUGGCAUGGGCAUGCAUGAACGUUUGCUUCUGGAACAGGCUCACUCAUCUUUAUUGAUGAUGUAACAAAUGAUGUCAGCUGCAGAAUGUAAUCAGAAGUGUAAAGAAGCAUCAUGACUACCCAUGCACAAGAAAACGCCACCUGACUCAUUGGGUGGCGUUUCACAAUGCAACGGGACAAUUGCCCAAAAACACACGGCUAUUGCAACCAAGUUCAUGGGGAACCCGUUUUAGACUGGCCACGUCAAGGUCUUGAUUUAAAUUCGAUUGAACAUGCAUUUCACUUGCUGAGGACGAGACUGAAGUCAGAAACUCCACGAAAAAAGCAACAGCUCAUGGCUGCAGUAAAGGCUUGGCAAAACAUUUCAAAGGAUACUAAUUGUUUGGCGAUGUCAGUGGGUUGAAGAUUCACUGCUGUUAUUGCAUGCGAGGGAUUUGUGGUUAUAUACUAGCUUUCAUACUUCCUACAUUUUCUUUAAAUUGAAUUGUCUCAAAACUUAUGCUCGCAUUAAAUGGGAGGAUGUAAUUCUGAAAGUGAUGUUAUUCAGUUGGUAAAACAAUGUGUUCAAACAGACUAAUUCAUAUAAUCGUAUUUCACCAUGCCUUGAGUGAACAGCAGAAAAAUUUGGAUUGGCAUUCAGUAUUGCAUUAGAAUUUUUUGUUGUACUCUCAAAUUAGCCCAUGUCAGCUAUUUUUCGCUGAGUCAAUUGCUCAAGCUUUAGAAGCCAGCGAUCUAAACUUAAAUUACUCAUGCUCACAGAUAUCAUCUUACAAGCUGGUGGAUAUCCCUGAUCUAAAUGGAUGAAAUGUUUGUAUACUCUAAUGUAAAUAAUACAUUGAAUAUGUCUUAUUGUUACAUCAAAAUGGUUUUAUGAAAAUUGUGUUCUUGCAAUUGUACUUUUUACUUUUAUAAAUGGUUUCCAUUUCUGGACCACAGUUGUCAAUAAAACAAAAUAUACCGAC